AGGACGAACGCUGGCGGCGUGCUUAACACAUGCAAGUCGAACGGAAAGGCCCUUUCGGGGGUACUCGAGUGGCGAACGGGUGAGUAACACGUGGGUGAUCUGCCCUGCACUUUGGGAUAAGCCUGGGAAACUGGGUCUAAUACCGAAUACACCUUGCUGGCUGCAUGGCCUGGUGGGGGAAAGCUUUUGCGGUGUGGGAUGGGCCCGCGGCCUAUCAGCUUGUUGGUGGGGUGAUGGCCUACCAAGGCGACGACGGGUA
RNAcentral lists this ribosomal RNA (259 nucleotides) under uncultured bacterium. RNAcentral describes it as "partial small subunit ribosomal RNA". It matches the Rfam family "Bacterial small subunit ribosomal RNA", at positions 26 to 285 of the family's 1533-position model. The record is from RNAcentral.